This 449-nucleotide ribosomal RNA is filed under the name uncultured Levilinea sp. RNAcentral's name for it is "bacterial SSU rRNA". It matches the Rfam family "Bacterial small subunit ribosomal RNA", at positions 919 to 1382 of the family's 1533-position model. The record is from RNAcentral. Lineage: Bacteria; Bacillati; Chloroflexota; Anaerolineae; Anaerolineales; Anaerolineaceae.
CCCCGCACAAGCAGCGGAGCGUGUGGUUUAAUUCGAUGAUACACGAAGAACCUUACCAGGGUUUGACAUGCUGGUAGUAGGGAUCCGAAAGGUGACCGACCCUCGGGGAGCCAGCACAGGUGCUGCAUGGCUGUCGUCAGCUCGUGUCGUGAGAUGUUCGGUUAAGUCCGCUAACGAGCGCAACCCUUGCUGUGUGUUACAUGUGUCACACGGGACUGCCGGUUUUAAACCGGAGGAAGGUGGGGAUGAUGUCAAGUCAGCAUGGCCUUUAUAUCCUGGGCUACACACACGCUACAAUGGCCGGUACAAUAGGUUGCGAAGCCGCGAGGCGGAGCCAAUCCUCAAAGCCGGCCUCAGUUCAGAUUGCAGGCUGCAACCCGCCUGCAUGAAGAUGGAGUUGCUAGUAACCGCAGGUCAGCAAUACUGCGGUGAAUACGUUCCCGGGGCUU